CAUUUAAGAUACCUUAAUUUGCGUUUUCCGAAAAUAGUGAAACUACCGGAGACAUUGUGCGAGUUAUAUAAUCUAGAAAAGUUAGAUAUUAGUUAUUGUUUUAAUCUUAAAGAAUUACCUGAAGGGAUUGGGAAGUUAAUAAACAUGAAGCAUUUACUAAAUAGAGGUACUAAUUCUUUAAGGUACAUGCCAGUAGGGAUUGGGAGAUUAACGGGUCUUAGGACCUUGGGUGAGUUCCGCGUGAGUGCAGGAGGAGAUGUUGAUGGUAGGAAAGCAUGUAGGCUUGAAUCUCUUAAAAACUUGGAACACCUUCAAGUAUGUGGUAUACGUAGACUGGGUGAUGUAUCAGAUGUGGGCGAGGCUAAGCGAUUAGAACUUGACAAAAAGAAAUACCUCUCUUGUUUGAGACUUCGGUUUGAUAAGAAGAAAGAAGGAGGAGAAAGGAGGAAGAACGAAGACGAUCAACUACUUCUUGAAGCCCUGCGACCACCUCUGGAUUUAAAGGAAUUAGAGAUACAGUUCAACCGAGGCAACACUGUUUUCCCCAGCUGGAUGACGUCAUUAACCAACUUAAAGAGUUUAGGUCUCUCUUUGUGCGAAAAUUGCGAGCAGUUGCCUCCUUUGGGAAAAUUGCCAUCCCUCGAACAGCUCUUCAUAUCGUACAUGUCGAGUGUGAAAAGAGUGGGUGAUGAAUUUCUGGGGGUAGAAAGUGAUCGUCAUGACUCAUCGUCAUCUUCAUUAGUUAUUAUUGCCUUCCCCAAAUUGAAAUCACUUAGAAUUGAGGGAUUGAUGGAAUUGGAGGAGUGGGAUUAUGGGAUUACAAGAACGGGAAACACCGUCAUCAACAUCAUGCCCCAUCUUUCUUCCUUGGUAAUUGAUAGUUGCUACGAAUUAAAGGCACUGCCCGAUCACAUUCAUCAAACGACGACAUUGAAGCGAUUGUGGAUUUUGAAUUGUGGGCCUCUGGGAGAACGUUACCGCACGGGGGAAGGAGAAGACUGGCCUAAUAUAUCACACAUUCCCAACAUACAUAUUCGUUAAGAAGGAUUUGCGCAUUUGAGAUUUGGCGUUGACAAGUAAUUUCUUCUCUUACUCUGAUUUGCUUUUGUUGUUGUUUUUAAUCUAGUUAAGAAGUGUAAAUAGCAUUUUGAAUCAAACUCUAUAUCAGAAAUCUGCAAUACAUACUUUCUAAUAUUCUGAUUUUCAUAUCCUAUGAAUAUACGAUUUUUAAUUUGUGAGAUGGGUAACGUUACUGUAAAAGAUUAUUAAUGCAAUAUGAGUAAUUCUUUUGCAGGACAAGUGACCUACAUUUAGUUUGGCUUUGGAGUUGAAUAAUAACCUUUCGAGGUCCCGACAAACAAAAAACGAAGCUUAAUUUGCCACAGAUUGCACGUAUUGCCAUUAUUGACAAUUUUCUGCACAAGUGAUCGAGGGUGAGGUCCUGUCCUGAAUAAAGCUCUCGUGACUGAACUUAGGUUGAUGUCAAAAGAGGUAAAUUAUCGGCAUGCCUGACUAUUUUGACCAUUACAUGAUUCAUAAAUUGAGUGAUUACUUUUCAAGGUUUGCUUACUUAACCGGGUGACCAGUUUCUUGUAACUAAAUGUAUGAUAUGAAAUGAGAAGCUUAUUAGUGGAAGGAUUGCCUGUAACAGAACCCAAAGAAAAUGAAACCAUUUCAAGGCAGCAGCCGGCAGUUGGGAGUGAAUGGAGGGCCUUCACAAAAUUCUCAAGCAGUUGCAAUGCAAUUACGAUCAUCCUCAGCCUCAGGUAAUUUCUUCUCCUGCUUUGUUUUUAUUUGUUACCUAAUUAAGAAGCAUUAUUUGUUUUUAUUUGUUACCUAAUUGAAGGACAAGUGCUGAAGAGUGGGAAUGGUGCUAUAUUGGGGAAUAAUGCAGGAGGAGGUAAAUUAUUGGGAGUUUCUUCAACCUUGUUUUCUUUGAACCAGCGCCUGAUCCACAAGACUCCGUUAAUUUGGCUUUUGAUCGGCUGAUUGAUAAAUUUUCAAUUUCUUUUGUGAUAAAUGUAUAUGUGAAGCAGGCAGCAGGACAUGACUGUGGAAAAGAGAAGAUCUUAGUGAAAGCUGAGACUCAGAUAUUUCUACAAAGUAUGUGUUUUGGCUGAUUUAUCUAAUUCAUGAAAUUUUAUUUCCAUCUGUUACAAGAUCAAACUGAAGCAGAACUCAAAGAAAAGUAUUCUACUUCUUACGGCAAUCUUGCCUUCGUUCAGAUUAUGGAACCAUUUCCAUGCAGCAAAUUCAUCCAAAAGUUUGAAUAAGUUUCAUGGUUGGACACUGUUGGCUUCUUUUUCUUUUGGGGUGCAUUUAGGUGCUAUCAAGUGACAGCCGUAAGUAUGAUUGCACUAAGCUGCUGCUGGGAAAUUCGAGGUUUUGAUGGCUGCCCACGUUAUUGUCAAGAAACUCCUCAUGUAAGAAGUUGUAGUUCUUUUCAUCAGCUUGAACCUAAAACUGUCGCUAUUGAUAACUCAGGUUUUUGUUAUCAACUAUAUCAUCUUUUUCACUGUUUUGAAACUCUUUAAGAUUAAACUUCAGUAAAGUUCUUUCAGUUAUCCACAUAAUCAGGCUGAGGAUACUUUAGUAAAGUUGCUUCAGCUAUUCAAAUGAAAAAUCUCAUUGAUUUGAGACUUCCUUCAUUAUUGUUUUUGAUUAAAAUGCUAAGGGUCCAGAUAAAAUAAUAUUUCUGCUGUACCGUACAUCCGCCUUGGCCGUACAGCAGUUUACUAAAUAGAGGUACUAAUUCUUUAAGGUACAUGCCAGUAGGGAUUGGGAGAUUAACGGGUCUUAGGACCUUGGGUGAGUUCCGCGUGAGUGCAGGAGGAGAUGUUGAUGGUAGGAAAGCAUGUAGGCUUGAAUCUCUUAAAAACUUGGAACACCUUCAAGUAUGUGGUAUACGUAGACUGGGUGAUGUAUCAGAUGUGGGCGAGGCUAAGCGAUUAGAACUUGACAAAAAGAAAUACCUCUCUUGUUUGAGACUUCGGUUUGAUAAGAAGAAAGAAGGAGGAGAAAGGAGGAAGAACGAAGACGAUCAACUACUUCUUGAAGCCCUGCUUUUGUAUUAGUUCUAGUGCGUUGACCUAAAUGCUAUUCUAUAUUUUAGUGCCUUAAUUCUAGAACCUUGGCUCCUGCCAGAGCAUGCGGAGAUAAUGGUAGGGAGAGUGUUUGUGUAUUUUAACCAUGAUAAAGCUAAUGUUCCCAAUGAUUUCUGCUGGUGAGACUUGUGAAGAGGGUGAAUGAGGCAACUGCUAAUAUUCCUGGGUGGGAUACAGUAACUAGAGGCUGAGAUCAGGUGGUGGAAUUUUUUGUUUGAUCGAUGAUACCAGAAUUGUCCACAAAAAGUUUGUUGAUACAAAUUACAGGUGAUAGAAAGAGGUAUAGGUGGAGAAGAGAAAUCUGCGAGUCAAAUUAGGGAUAAUUGAUUUGCUGAUGCAAGUUACAUUGAAUAAUAAUAAUAACAAUUGCAUGAAGAUCCCUUAUUAAUCUUGUGUUCUCCUAUCUUUUACAUUCAGCUGGUAUACUUAAGCCUUGCUUGUGGAAUGUUUUAACCUUUAAAUUCACUACCCCUGGAUGUUGGAUUUUCUAGAACUUCAAAAUGAUUAAUGGAGAAAGAUCCCAUUAUCGAUAUCGCUAUAAGAAAUUUUAUUUAUACUUCCAAAGAUACAUUAUAUAUUUAUGUGUAUCUCUUUAUACAUGACAUUUAAGCAUCCAUAAACUGUCAGACAGAGGAAGGGGGUUGAGUGUAAAGAUUCUGUUGACCUAGGGGUUGCCUGCUUAAUGUCACUUGUUAGUGAUCUAUUAUUUAUUUCAUAUUUUGAAGAAUUUAAAGGGCAAUCCUGCUUGUUUGUGUUGUUAUCUCCUUCUAACUUACGGUCGUACCUAAAGAGCAUAGUUUCAUAUGUGUUACCCUGAGAUGUACAGAAUUUCACAUUUGCCUCAGAUUAAGCUUAAUUUCCCACAGAAUAGAGCUGUUGUGACUGAACUUAGGUUGAUGUCAAAAGAGGUAAAUUAUUGGCAUGCCUAGAUAAUUUGACCAUUUCCUAAUUCAUAAGUCUACAUUAAUUUUGAUUUUGAGUUGACUGAUUUCUUUUCAAGGUCUGCUUACUUAACGGAGUGACCAAUGUUUUUCAACUAAAUUUAUCAUAUGAUGCAGGAAGCAGGGCAGGAUAUGAAAUGAGAAGCUCAUUGGUGGAAGUAUUGCCUGUAACAGAACCCAAAGAAAAUGAAACUAUUUCAAGGCAGCAGUUGGCAGUUGCAAGUGAAUGGAGGCCCUUGCCAAAAUUCUCAAGCGGUUGCAAUGCAAUUACGAUCAUCCUCAGCCUCAGGUAAUUUCUUCUCCUGCUUUGUAUUUAUUUGUUAUCUAAUUAGGAAGCGUAAAGUAUCUUGAAUCAUUUUCUGUAUCUGGAAUAUAUGCAAGAGUUUCUAAAAUUUUGAUAUGAGUGUAAUGAUGGUAAUUUCUGUUUUCUGUCUGUCAUCAAAUGUUAGAAAACUUUCAUUGAGACCCUUGAACCGAGUCAUUUUUGACAAGUGAAGUGCUGAAGAGUGAGGAGUAAGAAUGGUGCUAGAUUGGGGAAUAAAGCAAAAGGAGGUAAAUUAUUGGCAGCUUCUUCAGCCUUAUUUUCUUUGGACCAGUGCCUAAUUCACAAGUCUCCGUAAUUUGGCUUUUGACCAGUUGAUAGAUAAAAUUUUAAUUUCAUUGGUGCUAAUGUACCCGUGAAGCAGGCAGAGAAGGACUGUGGAAAAGAGAAGGUUUUUAGUGAAAGCUUAAACUCAGGUAAUUCUAAAAAUUAUAGGUUUUGGCUGAUUUAUCUAAUCAGGAAAUUUUAUUUCCAUCUGUUACAAUAAAACAGAAACAGAACACAAAGAAAAAUAGUCUACCUCUUGUGGCAAUCUUGCCUUCAUUCAGUUAUAUGUUUUGGCUGAUUUAUCUAAUCAGGAAAUUUUAUUUCCAUCUGUUACAAUAAAACAGAAACAGAACACAAAGAAAAAUAGUCUACCUCUUGUGGCAAUCUUGCCUUCAUUCAGACUAUGAAACCAUUUCCUUUCACCAAUUUCUUCCAAAAGUUUGAACACGUUUCAUGGUUGGACAUAGUUAGCUUCUUUCUCUUUUGGUGCAUUUAGGUGCUAUCAAGUGACAGCCAUAAGUAUGAUUGCAUUAUUGGGAAAUUUUAGGUUUUGAUGGCUCCCCAUGUUAUUGCCAAGAAAUUUUAAGUCCUCAUGUCAGAAGCUGCGUUUCUUUUCAUCAGCCUGAACCCGAACCUGUCACUAUGGAUAACUGAGGUUUUUGUCAUCAACUAUAUCAUCUUUUUCACUGUUUUGAAACUCUUUAAGAUUAAACUUCAGUAAAGUUCUUUCAGUUAUCCACAUAAUCAGGCUGAGGAUACUUUAGUAAAGUUGCUUCAGCUAUUCAAAUGAAAAAUCUCAUUGAUUUGAGACUUCCUUCAUUAUUGUUUUUGAUUAAAAUGCUAAGGGUCCAGAUAAAAUAAUAUUUCUGCUGUACCGUACAUCCGCCUUGGCCGUACAGCAGUUUACUAAAUAGAGGUACUAAUUCUUUAAGGUACAUGCCAGUAGGGAUUGGGAGAUUAACGGGUCUUAGGACCUUGGGUGAGUUCCGCGUGAGUGCAGGAGGAGAUGUUGAUGGUAGGAAAGCAUGUAGGCUUGAAUCUCUUAAAAACUUGGAACACCUUCAAGUAUGUGGUAUACGUAGACUGGGUGAUGUAUCAGAUGUGGGCGAGGCUAAGCGAUUAGAACUUGACAAAAAGAAAUACCUCUCUUGUUUGAGACUUCGGUUUGAUAAGAAGAAAGAAGGAGGAGAAAGGAGGAAGAACGAAGACGAUCAACUACUUCUUGAAGCCCUGCGACCACCUCUGGAUUUAAAGGAAUUAGAGAUACAGUUCAACCGAGGCAACACUGUUUUCCCCAGCUGGAUGACGUCAUUAACCAACUUAAAGAGUUUAGGUCUCUCUUUGUGCGAAAAUUGCGAGCAGUUGCCUCCUUUGGGAAAAUUGCCAUCCCUCGAACAGCUCUUCAUAUCGUACAUGUCGAGUGUGAAAAGAGUGGGUGAUGAAUUUCUGGGGGUAGAAAGUGAUCGUCAUGACUCAUCGUCAUCUUCAUUAGUUAUUAUUGCCUUCCCCAAAUUGAAAUCUGCGUUGAUUUCUAAUGCGGUGGAGUAAUCGUCGUUAGAAUCUGAAUGAUAUGUCUAAGACGUUGCAUGCAUCAAGAAAAUUGCAGAUGAUUAAACCUUGCCAUCUAUGCGUUGUAUGAGGUUAUAGCAACUAUCUAUCUGGUCACCGUUUUAAAAGAAUAAGACAAAGGGAAAAAGAGAAAGAAAAGAAUGAUUCGACAAUGGCAUUAAAGUUCAACAUACCCCAAGAUCUUGUAAUAAUGCCAUUAAUCAUUUCUAGCUAGGCUAGCCUUAGAGAAAAGUGAAACUGUUGCACAGGUAGAAUCACACCCCUCAGAGAUAAUGUGUUUUUAUUCAGCUCUUCGAAUGAAUGAAGUUUAUUUUCUCGUCAAAAAAGAAACUGCUCGUUCCGCUGGUUUCAUACAAUGUCAACUAGAAACAUCAUACUUUCGUAUAAGUUCAUUAUUGUUUCUUGGAAAUAUCAGAAUAUUUCUUAGAGUUUGUAUAAAAUGAAAAGAUUUUAAAAUAUAAAUUUAAUAUUUGUUUAUUA
This 6683-nucleotide long non-coding RNA is filed under the name Citrus sinensis (sweet orange). Its description in RNAcentral is "long non-coding RNA (CSIN_LNC005002)". The record is from RNAcentral. Lineage: Eukaryota; Viridiplantae; Streptophyta; Magnoliopsida; Sapindales; Rutaceae.